GCAUUUGAAAUGAAGCCAGUCCUAUUCCACGCUGUUCCCAAAAUAACUUGUCUUCUAGAGAAAUUUAGUCAUCAACGUCUAAACACAAAUCAGGAGUCAAGGCUAAGAUUUUACCCAUCUAAAUGUACCACCUCCACGUGUAGUUCAGCAGUUAACACUUCAGACGGGAUUAGUAUGCUCUUAAAUACACAGCUGUCUCUUCCGGUGAUGAGAACGCCUGUGUCGACUAUUCUUAGAAGCUUUAAGGGACUUCUGAGUCAAUGGGGACACUAGAUUUCCCUGCAAGCUGUCUGUCAAAUCAGUACACGUCCUGGCUUCGUGACGUAUCUGAUGGAGGAGGAAGAGCAGCAGUCAGUGGGCGGAGCCGGCUUCUCACCUUAGGUAUUGGGCUUGUGGAGAAGAGGAGUUCCGAGGGUAGUGGCAGGGACAGGUAGUGUGGAGGCUGCACUGACGCCACCCAGUGGAUGAGUCUGCUUUCAGUCUAGAUCUCAAAGAGGGGGUGACCCUGCCCAGCACAUCCAUGGUAAAUGGUCCUCUUUGUGCUGUGACUGAUAGAUGUCACUCUAUCUAGUGAGUGCUCAGAGUAACAUGGGGGAGCCAAGCACGGUGGCACACCAUUCCUAGAGGGAUGAUUUUUAAAACGAGAAGCAGCAUUUUUGGCAGGCAGAGAUUAUCAAGAAAACAAAAUCCUCCUUGGCAACAGCACUGUGUUCAGUUCUGCUUGUAGAAGGGAAAUAAGGAAGUCAUCAGGACGGUCGCUGAGGAGGCAGAAGGGGACUUCCUCGGAGCACACGAGUUUGAGAGGAAAGCCACCUUCAGGAAAGUCAUAGCAGCAAGAACAGGAAGCAACUGGUCAUAUUGUGUCCAGUCUGGAAGCAGAGAGAGGGUCGAGAUCCGGGGGACAGUCUUCAGCCACUGAGCAGAUGAAGCUGGCACCUCUCCAGAGCAUUGCCCGUGGUCUCUGCAGAUAUACUAUGCAGUGGGCAUCAUGGGCUUCUAGGGCUGCAUCUGGUAAUCUUGAGCAAGUAAUAUAACUGAGUGCUGGUUAUCUGGGGCAGCCUUGGGUGUGGUGGGGAUCCUGACUAAGCUAUUUUUACAUGUCUAAAAGGCUCAUUACCUGGCCCUCUAACCCUAGAGUCCCAGAGUAAAGUUUCAGCUUUACAAUUUGAGUGGGUGGUCUGAUCUCACUGGAACUCCAGAAACUGUUAGUUCUGCCAGGUGAGAACAAGACCACUACUGCAAUUUCUAAGCCAAAUCUGAAACAAGGCUUAUUAAAUAUCAGCCAGGACGAUGGCCACUGGUCAGGUCUAGACCGAGGAUACCCAGAGUAUGUCCUGAACUACUUUAGUCAUAGGCUAAAGGCAAAACAAGACUAUUGACUUCCUGUCUCUGUCCAAUCAGGGUCAGCCAUGCAUCCUAACAUACUUCCUGCCUAUGGGUAAUCAAACGCAUCACGGGCAGUUGGGGCAGGCGAGCUUGUUUGUACUAGUGAAACAUAUGGCUUCACACCAACAGUAACCCCCAGCAUUGCCACAGUUCUCUGUCCUUGGGCAAGUGGGGCUUUCAGGUUGGAGGCAUUUGUGUUUUAUUGAUCUCUUAAGUACAAUAAUUCAAACCUAGAAAUAACUUUAGCCACCACAGGUUAUCUUCUGUCUUCCCAUGGGGCAAGGUGUCAGUCCCAUGCUUGCCUCAUCUUGGAUUUUUCCCUUUAAUUCCACUUGCAGCACCUGUAGCAAAGUAUGUUCUGCUUUGUUUUCAAAUUCCUUGUUAAUAUAAACAUUUGUUUAAAUAGCCCUGUCUCUUGGGUGGAUGGAUUCUCUAGGGUAGGAGAUCUCUAAAGCCCUUGCCCAGAGCCCACAUUCAAGGAUCCUUUGUUAGGAUUCUAGGACAACUCUGAAGAUACCUCAGAGUAAACAGGGAGAUUACCCAGUACAGAGAAGGUGGGAAGGUGUUCAUCUUUUAUCUUGCAAGUGAAGACAGAAGUAACUCCCAGGAUGAAUAGGUAAGAGACUUCCCAUAAAGUUACUUUUUUUUUUUUCCAAACUAAGGACAUAACCAUGACUUCACUGCUGAAUUGCCACCGUUGUAGACAGGUGGACCAGUUUGGAGCAUAAGGAAGAAAUGUUGGAGAAAGUGAACUUCAGUAAAAGAAGCUAGAGUCAGUCACCUCAGUCAGUGGCAGACCGGUGAGCCUCCUUUUGUGAAUUUACAGAGAUGGUGUUUGUUCUUAUUACAAAAAGACAGCCUAAGAUCAUCUUCUGAGAAUCAAAAGAUUUUAUUGCUUUCUAGUGAUGAAGACUUUGGUAUGCAGCCCCGGAUUUGGCCACAGCUCUGAUUUUUCCCUACAGCAAGUCAAGGACCUUUCAUUUAAGAGAGGAAGAGGGAUGUACACAAGUCUCUUUGACAAAUGGGAGUGCAGAAUAUUAAAUAGUUGUUGGAUGUGAAGACAAAGAAGAAGAGAGCUGAUUGGCCCACAGCUGUGGUAAAUGUAGCCAGAAUGGAUUUUGAACAUAUCUGAACAGCAGGGACCAGUCAGCCAGAAGAGGAUCCCUUCUGGUGGGUGUCAAAACCCACAAGACCUUUGUCUUUCAGGAAGGUGAGGAAGAAGCCAGAGGUUUGUCUCCUUUGUUAUCUGUGGUUCUUUUUCCUGUCAUCUGCUGGCCAGGGGUCUCCUCAGUAGUUAGUGUCUAAGGACUUCUGAAAUCCAAAUGACAGAGAAGCAGGCAGAAGUUGUAAGCCAGAGCUCUGCUCAGCAGAUGUAGCAUGACAUCUCUAGGUCAGGUUGGAGAGGAGAUCCUCAGCCUGACUAGCACAAGAAGAAAAGAUUUCACACUGACUGAGCCUCUUUCUUUUUUAAUAUUUAGAAACAAAAUGAUCACCUUUGCUGCCAGGCAGUGCAAAGACUAGUCCAGCCCACCUUUCUUGAAAACCCAUGAUCUGCUUUUCAGGGGGAGAUGAAAGUGCAGGCAUAGACAAUGGAUCUGAAAGCUGCUGGCUUUUGAAUAUUCAUGACUAUUCUAAUGCAAAUGAAUGUUUCCAAUUGAGCUGAGUUUGGCCAGGUGCUGUUGGAAGUGCUUUAAGUUUAUAAUGUUGCUUCUCUGUUCUUUAGAUCUCCUAGAACAACUUCUCUGAGAAGGUUUCCCAGGUGUCCCACCUUGGACUGUAGUUCCUGCCCCUAAAGUUCAAGGGCUCUGGAUCCCCCCAAUCCACAGGACAGCCUGCCCUUGUUUAAUUGGGGCCCAGGUCUGAGAGGCCCUCCUUUGGCCCAGAGCCAGAGAGCCUUAUCACUCACCAGAUUGUGCUUCAACCAAAGCUCACUGCUCCCAGAAUAACAGAGGGGAUGGUGGGGGGUCUGCCAAGGUUAGGAGCACUUGUUUCAGCCCUCUUUGACUCUUGCAACUGUAAAUGGCCUUGGCCUGUAGCCUGAUGCUUUGCUAGGUCCACAGACUAUGCAAGACACACAACCCUGUGAGCUGAUGGUGGUUGCCUUUGGAGGAACACAGUGAGUCUUCAGUCUCUGUGGGUGCUAAGGGAGGAUUUCCCUGUUCAACAGGAUUUGUUGUGAGGGUUUCUGAUCAAAUUCUAGGAGGGGGGAGGGGGAAGGGAAGGGAGACAAGGAAAGUCACUGUUCAGCCAAGGACCUGUUUGGAGGAGUACAGACGCUGGUCCUGACCCAGGUCAGUGAAGGAAGUUUCCACAACUUCCACCAUCUCCCAGGAGCUGGGUGGUCCUCAGGAUCCAUUGGAGUGAAAGAUGCCACUUCUAGGUUUAAAUUGGUCCAGGAUCCUUAUACCACCUAAGGACUCUUGCUGAAGUAUCUCAGGCAUGGCCUAUGAUUCCAUUCCUUGAUUAGUUCUUGAAAUCUAUUCUUACCUCCUAGGCUUUCCAGCAGAACUUUUCACCCUCAAAUACUCUAUGGAAAAGACACUCCUCUCUAUGCCCGAUACAUACUUAUUCAAUGAGAAUCUACCUAUGUUUUAAACAGGUGACUCUAAGAGGUACAGUAGUCUCUGGUCAAUGCGUCUUGGUCUGUCUAUUCAGACUACCCUCCACCCAUAGUCCCCCUCUGCACCGUCAUCACUAGGGCUGCCAUAGCCUUCUCUGGGGUAACCUCACCUCCAAUGCCCUCUCCUCUGGGUUCCAAAGCUGCCAAAGCUAUGUUCACCUGAAUUCAGCCUCCCCAGUUUUCUUCCACGACUACCUGCUGUUUAAUUUAUCCUGGCAUUGUUAACACCUGACUUUCCCUGUGAUGAGUUUUUAGCUGUGGACUAGUUUAUUCUUAAGAAACACAUUGAUUUUCGAGGGCUGGAGCUUCAUUGCAGUUACUUAAGUCCUUCUUCCAUGUUUCCUUUCCAGGACUUCAUAGUUGUGGCCGAGGCCUGAUGUCAGUCAGACAGGCUUUGAUGAGGAUGGUACCCUGGUUCUGGCAGCUACUCAAGGACUUGGGAGAAACCUGUUUGUACCCCAAGCUUCUGGUCAAAUUGAGUGGCCCUCACCUUGAAAUAGACCCUGAAUAUGGCAUAGAUGCCAGGAACCCAGCUCUGUAAACGUUUAUAUGCAGACAAAGUCUCUCCAUGUGCUUUUAAACCAAGGAAGUUUCUACUCAGAAACUUAGAAGGCUGUCAUGAGAGAUUGCCAAGCAAGGACAAUACACAAAGGGAAGCAAGCAGAUUUUACUGAGAAGAAACAUCUCCCUGUAGCCAGAGGGGAGACGUGAAGGUGAGUUACCUAUUCAAGUUACCUAUUUAGCACGCUGAAACGGUUUUUACAUCUUGGGAAUGUGCCAUUGUGGUCCCAUAUGUAAAUUAGGCAUCAAACUCAGAUGAGUCUGAUUGGCUUAUUUGAAUGCACGUGGCAAAGUCUGCUUUGCUGACAAGUCCUGUGAAAGUACAGAGCCUUGGAAAUCGAAAGCUGGAGGUCAGCUGACAUCUUGGAGGGUCAGGGUGUUUGGAUUUUAAUUCUUUGGCUCACCAACUGUGCUGGACAUUUUUAUGUCAACAGCAUAAGUUCCAGCGUUUUUAGAAGAAGAAACCUCAAUUGAGAAAAUGCCCCCAUCAUAUAUGUAGUCAAGCUUAUGCUACAUUUUCUUGAUUGAUGAUUGAUGUGGGAGGGUCCAAUUCUCCUGUUCAGUAUCACCCCUGGGCUGGUAGUCCUGGGUGCUAUAAGAAAGCAGGAAGAGUAACCCAUAAAGAACAGCUGGUAAGGAGCGCUCCUCCAUGGCGUCCGCUUCAGUUCCUGCCUGAGUUCCUGCCCUGACUCUCUGGAUGAUGGACUACAAGCUGUAGCUGAAAUAAAAC
RNAcentral lists this small RNA (5297 nucleotides) under Rattus norvegicus (Norway rat). Its description in RNAcentral is "uncharacterized LOC102554555". Lineage: Eukaryota; Metazoa; Chordata; Mammalia; Rodentia; Muridae. The record is from RNAcentral.